CUAAUGGUGUUCCGGUAUUCCUUGAGAAAUGUGUUGGUCCAUCAAUCUCCAAAGCAACCUUUUGAUCAACAAGAACAGCAUCAACUGUGUAGCAGUCAACAGGGUACUCUCUAACCCAAUCAAGGCCAGUGCUCACAAGAAGACG
Molecule: long non-coding RNA, 145 nt
Organism: Hibiscus syriacus
Lineage: Eukaryota; Viridiplantae; Streptophyta; Magnoliopsida; Malvales; Malvaceae
Exons: 3
Source: RefSeq, a predicted model, not a curated record